GACCUAAAGUAGUACUAAAUUGCAAGUUUAGUUUGGGAAAAUAAGUUUUCAUAGGUCUA
RNAcentral lists this transfer RNA (59 nucleotides) under Phrynocephalus maculatus (blacktail toadhead agama). RNAcentral's name for it is "tRNA-Cys". Lineage: Eukaryota; Metazoa; Chordata; Lepidosauria; Squamata; Agamidae. The record is from RNAcentral.